GGUGACAGUGACGGCUAUAGGCAGUGUGUGCUCGUGGAUAAAUCAAUUAUGGAUGCCUGACUAUGCAGGAUGGUGCCCCAGGCCUUGACCACCAUGGCGGAGAUGAAGCUGCGUGUUCACCUGUGCAGAAAGAAGACUGUGUGUACAAGACUGGGACAUUGUACCCCUUUGAAUCCAAAAUCCUGAAUACACACAUCAAUAAAUGUGUUGUGCUACAUC
Molecule: long non-coding RNA, 219 nt
Organism: Ornithodoros turicata
Lineage: Eukaryota; Metazoa; Arthropoda; Arachnida; Ixodida; Argasidae
Exons: 2
Source: RefSeq, a predicted model, not a curated record